Molecule: long non-coding RNA, 2215 nt
Organism: Condylostylus longicornis
Lineage: Eukaryota; Metazoa; Arthropoda; Insecta; Diptera; Dolichopodidae
Exons: 8
Source: RefSeq, a predicted model, not a curated record
AUUUUAAUUUUUGGCUCCAAAUUGGAAAUACGAAUUUGGAUUGGCAUAAAAAUUUAAUAUUUCCAAUUAGAAAUGCGAAGUUGGCUUAAAAUAAAAAUUUAAUUUUUCAAAUUGGAAAUGGAGUAAUGGAUAAUUUGAAUUUCACAAUACGAAUAUGUACAAAAAAUUUGGUUUAAAAUUGCGUGCCUAAAUUGCAGCAUUGGCAUCCAAGUUAUGUAUGUGUAACCUUUUGACCUGUACAACACUUGAGUCCGUGCUGGAUGGAUAGUGUUAACGAAUAAUUGGAAACAGGCUAGGUGGAUCCAGCCGACAAUGCAUAUCACAUUUUUAAUGAUUCACAAUACGUCUCAUUUAAUGAAGAUAAUAGAGAAUGUGAUCAAGUAAAAUAACAGGAGAGGUGCUUACAGCAAUGUUCUAGAUUCCUGCAAGAAAAGUAAUUGGAUGAUUUCCCAAGCAAAAAUUUUCGGUAGCUGCCGCGAUAUUUUAUAAAAGAGACUGAUAUUGAAAUCUGGAAAAGUUCAGAGUUACUCUAUAAAAAUGAAAUCUUGUUGUUUUCAUAACAAAAGCACUUCAAAGUAAUUAUGACUAAGUAUGAUUAUCAGCUGAGAAGCAAUAUACAUCCAGGACUCGUAGAAACUACAUUUUAAUUUGCUAUAUCAAGUCAAGACAGGCAAAAAAAAAUUAAAGGCAAUAUUGGUCUAAUAACUCGUUUCAGAUUGUGAUAUUGAGGAUAAAAUGGAAUUCCUUUGUUUGGUGUUUAAAUUCUGAUUGAUUUACUAGAUGUCGACUUCAAAAUAUUUUGGUAAAUUUAUGGGAAAUUUCAUCCGAAAAAAAUCAGUUUUAUGCAUUGCGGCUAUAUGUUCAGCAUUGUAAGAAGACUUUGGACUUUUUCAAAAUGGAAUUUCAACACCUAAAAUUUUUAAAUAUAUCAUAGGUAUGUGAGUUUUGACGUAGGGGAAGAAUAUCUUAUCAAUAUGGUUGGCACGAUUGGAAUUCUUAACGAAGACUUCCUAGAGGCCUUGUUGCAGAACAGUCAGAUUUUUUCUUCGUAUUCAAGAGGAAAUAAUGGAACGCAUCUACAAUCGGCGAGAUAGGAAAACUCGCCCUGGAUAGGAUGGCGCAUGCCUUACGCUGACUGCCUUAAAGCGGAAAUCAGAAAAGGGGAGAAAGGCACCUUUGUUGAGAAAUCGGCCGAGAGUGUCCUGGAGGUUAGAACUCCAAGCUGCGCGCUGACCAUGAGGCAAUGUUUGCAGCUCAUUUGGAUCAAUGGAGUUUUAGGGACUAAAAACAAUCCUCGAGUGCUUUUUUACAUUCUGAAAUUUUGAGUAUAACAGUAUUUCUGUAUCAGAUAAUAAGAUUUUUCAUUGGAAAUUAUUUGGGAAACUGCUUUAUUGUGAAAUGUUUAAUGAUUCUGUGUUGUAUCAACAUUAAAUCCUUCAUUUUAAAAUUAAUGUGUAUGAUGGCAAAGAGCGAAGCCGUUAAAGCAAAAGUAUUCCGCAAAUAAUGGAGUUUACUAGCCACGUUUUUUUUUAGUAUGUUAAGUAAGAAAAAUGAGAGAGAAUCAAAAAGCAAACAAUAUAGCAGAUAUGACAAAACAGUGAACAUUCAUAAUAUUGAAAUAUAGAUUGACACAACUCUAUAUACUUGCAUUAAACUGUAGCUUGUAGGUUCUUCAAUCGACGACUGACACAUACAGCUAGACUCAGUAUGACGGGCAGUCAAUAUGAGCUAUGGCAAUCACAAUUUAGGGACUUCAUUUUCCUGGUUUUCUUUAACUACAAAAUCAUAAGAUGCAAUUCAACAGUUUAACGGAAUAUUUUCUAAAAGUGUUUUUCCACUGGUGUACUAUUUUCUGUGAAACUGUUGUAGUGAAGCGGAAUUAAAUUUGUAAUAUCUGAAGGGACGGAAACAAACGUUGAUUAAUCAUUUAAAUUUUUCUUUUUGGUUCAAGCAAACUGUCCAAUAUACGUUACCAACAAGGUAUAUGGACCCGAGGUGUUUUCAAGCUCACUGCCAUAAAUUUUGAAAAAAAAAAACUUGAAUAUAUAGUUUUUCUUUUGUAAAUCCAGCGUUAUAAGAUAUCACGGCAAACAUUAUUAAGGUUCUUCGAUUUAAAAUAGGGGAAAAAUUGUUCAAAAGGAAUUCAAUUUUAAAUAUGAUUCAAGGUUAUGAUUAAUUAGCUUAGUUAUAUGAUUAAUUAGCUCAGAUGAAUGGU